Molecule: ribosomal RNA, 735 nt
Filed under: uncultured Ruminococcus sp.
Lineage: Bacteria; Bacillati; Bacillota; Clostridia; Eubacteriales; Oscillospiraceae
Description: bacterial SSU rRNA
Rfam family: Bacterial small subunit ribosomal RNA
Source: RNAcentral
GAUGAACGCUGACAGAAUGCUUAACACAUGCAAGUCAACUUGAAUUUGGGUUUUUAACUUAGGUUUGGGUGGCGGACGGGUGAGUAACGCGUAAAGAACUUGCCUCACAGCUAGGGACAACAUUUGGAAACGAAUGCUAAUACUUAAUAUUAUGAUAAUAGGGCAUCCUAUAAUUAUGAAAGCUAUAAGCGCUGUGAGAGAGCUGUGCGUCCCAUUAGCUAGUGGAGAGGUAACAGCUCACCAAGGCGAUGAUGGGUAGCCGGCCUGAGAGGGUGAUCGGCCACAAGGGGACUGAGACACGGCCCUUACUCCUACGGGAGGCAGCAGUGGGGAAUAUUGGACAAUGGACCAAGAGUCUGAUCCAGCAAUCCUGUGUGCACGAUGAAGUUUUUCGGAAUGUAAAGUGCUUUCAGUUGGGAAGAAAGAAAUGACGGUACCAACAGAAGAAGUGACGGCUAAUUCCGUGCCAGCAGCCGCGGUAAUACGGAAGGUCCGGGCGUUAUCCGGAUUUAUUGGGUUUAAAGGGAGCGUAGGCCGUGGAUUAAGCGUGUUGUGAAAUGCAGGUGCUCAACGUCUGCACUGCAGCGCGAACUGGUCCACUUGAGUGUGCGCAACGCAGGCGGAAUUCGUCGUGUAGCGGUGAAAUGCUUAGAUAUGACGAAGAACUCCGAUUGCGAAGGCAGCUUGCGGGAGCACAACUGACGCUGAAGCUCGAAAGUGCGGGUAUCGAACAGG